AAAUUGAAGAGUUUGAUCAUGGCUCAGAUUGAACGCUGGCGGCAGGCCUAACACAUGCAAGUCGAGCGGUAGCACAGAGAGCUUGCUCUCGGGUGACGAGCGGCGGACGGGUGAGUAAUGUCUGGGAAACUGCCUGAUGGAGGGGGAUAACUACUGGAAACGGUGGCUAAUACCGCAUAAUGUCGCAAGACCAAAGUGGGGGACCUUCGGGCCUCAUGCCAUCAGAUGUGCCCAGAUGGGAUUAGCUAGUAGGUGGGGUAACGGCUCACCUAGGCGACGAUCCCUAGCUGGUCUGAGAGGAUGACCAGCCACACUGGAACUGAGACACGGUCCAGACUCCUACGGGAGGCAGCAGUGGGGAAUAUUGCACAAUGGGCGCAAGCCUGAUGCAGCCAUGCCGCGUGUGUGAAGAAGGCCUUCGGGUUGUAAAGCACUUUCAGCGGGGAGGAAGGCGUUAAGGUUAAUAACCUUGGCGAUUGACGUUACCCGCAGAAGAAGCACCGGCUAACUCCGUGCCAGCAGCCGCGGUAAUACGGAGGGUGCAAGCGUUAAUCGGAAUUACUGGGCGUAAAGCGCACGCAGGCGGUCUGUCAAGUCGGAUGUGAAAUCCCCGGGCUCAACCUGGGAACUGCAUUCGAAACUGGCAGGCUAGAGUCUUGUAGAGGGGGGUAGAAUUCCAGGUGUAGCGGUGAAAUGCGUAGAGAUCUGGAGGAAUACCGGUGGCGAAGGCGGCCCCCUGGACAAAGACUGACGCUCAGGUGCGAAAGCGUGGGGAGCAAACAGGAUUAGAUACCCUGGUAGUCCACGCCGUAAACGAUGUCGAUUUGGAGGUUGUGCCCUUGAGGCGUGGCUUCCGGAGCUAACGCGUUAAAUCGACCGCCUGGGGAGUACGGCCGCAAGGUUAAAACUCAAAUGAAUUGACGGGGGCCCGCACAAGCGGUGGAGCAUGUGGUUUAAUUCGAUGCAACGCGAAGAACCUUACCUGGUCUUGACAUCCACAGAACUUUCCAGAGAUGGAUUGGUGCCUUCGGGAACUGUGAGACAGGUGCUGCAUGGCUGUCGUCAGCUCGUGUUGUGAAAUGUUGGGUUAAGUCCCGCAACGAGCGCAACCCUUAUCCUUUGUUGCCAGCGGUUCGGCCGGGAACUCAAAGGAGACUGCCAGUGAUAAACUGGAGGAAGGUGGGGAUGACGUCAAGUCAUCAUGGCCCUUACGACCAGGGCUACACACGUGCUACAAUGGCAUAUACAAAGAGAAGCGACCUCGCGAGAGCAAGCGGACCUCAUAAAGUAUGUCGUAGUCCGGAUUGGAGUCUGCAACUCGACUCCAUGAAGUCGGAAUCGCUAGUAAUCGUAGAUCAGAAUGCUACGGUGAAUACGUUCCCGGGCCUUGUACACACCGCCCGUCACACCAUGGGAGUGGGUUGCAAAAGAAGUAGGUAGCUUAACCUUCGGGAGGGCGCUUACCACUUUGUGAUUCAUGACUGGGGUGAAGUCGUAACAAGGUAACCGUAGGGGAACCUGCGGUUGGAUCACCUCCUUACCUUAAAGAA
This 1550-nucleotide ribosomal RNA is filed under the name Klebsiella pneumoniae. Its description in RNAcentral is "bacterial SSU rRNA". It matches the Rfam family "Bacterial small subunit ribosomal RNA". The record is from RNAcentral. Lineage: Bacteria; Pseudomonadati; Pseudomonadota; Gammaproteobacteria; Enterobacterales; Enterobacteriaceae.